GAUGAACGCUGGCGGCGUGCCUAAUACAUGCAAGUCGAGCGAACAGACGAGGAGCUUGCUCCUCUGACGUUAGCGGCGGACGGGUGAGUAACACGUGGAUAACCUACCUAUAAGACUGGGAUAACUUCGGGAAACCGGAGCUAAUACCGGAUAAUAUAUUGAACCGCAUGGUUCAAUAGUGAAAGACGGUUUUGCUGUCACUUAUAGAUGGAUCCGCGCCGCAUUAGCUAGUUGGUAAGGUAACGGCUUACCAAGGCAACGAUGCGUAGCCGACCUGAGAGGGUGAUCGGCCACACUGGAACUGAGACACGGUCCAGACUCCUACGGGAGGCAGCAGUAGGGAAUCUUCCGCAAUGGGCGAAAGCCUGACGGAGCAACGCCGCGUGAGUGAUGAAGGUCUUCGGAUCGUAAAACUCUGUUAUUAGGGAAGAACAAAUGUGUAAGUAACUAUGCACGCCUUGACGGUACCUAAUCAGAAAGCCACGGCUAACUACG
RNAcentral lists this ribosomal RNA (495 nucleotides) under uncultured bacterium. Its description in RNAcentral is "partial 16S ribosomal RNA". It matches the Rfam family "Bacterial small subunit ribosomal RNA", at positions 28 to 505 of the family's 1533-position model. The record is from RNAcentral.